GUUGCUGUGGCCAAGUGGUUAAGGCGUGUGCCUGCUAAGUACGUGGGGUUUCCCUGCAAGAGUUCAAAUCUCUCAUGCAAUG
Molecule: transfer RNA, 82 nt
Organism: Ipomoea nil (Japanese morning glory)
Lineage: Eukaryota; Viridiplantae; Streptophyta; Magnoliopsida; Solanales; Convolvulaceae
Rfam family: tRNA
About the family: Transfer RNA (tRNA) molecules are approximately 80 nucleotides in length. Their secondary structure includes four short double-helical elements and three loops (D, anti-codon, and T loops).
Source: Rfam